UGCAGUCGAACGGAAACAUGUCUAGCUUGCUAGAUGAUGUCGAGUGGCGGACGGGUGAGUAAUGCUUGGGAACUUGCCUUUGCGAGGGGGAUAACAGUUGGAAACGACUGCUAAUACCGCAUAAUGUCUUCGGACCAAACGGGGCUUCGGCUCCGGCGCAAAGAGAGGCCCAAGUGAGAUUAGCUAGUUGGUGAGGUAAAGGCUCACCAAGGCAACGAUCUCUAGCUGUUCUGAGAGGAAGAUCAGCCACACUGGGACUGAGACACGGCCCAGACUCCUACGGGAGGCAGCAGUGGGGAAUAUUGCACAAUGGGGGAAACCCUGAUGCAGCCAUGCCGCGUGUGUGAAGAAGGCCUUCGGGUUGUAAAGCACUUUCAGUUGUGAGGAAAAGUUAGUAGUUAAUACCUGCUAGCCGUGACGUUAACAACAGAAGAAGCACCGGCUAACUCCGUGCCAGCAGCCGCGGUAAUACGGAGGGUGCGAGCGUUAAUCGGAAUUACUGGGCGUAAAGCGCACGCAGGCGGUUUGUUAAGCUAGAUGUGAAAGCCCCGGGCUCAACCUGGGACGGUCAUUUAGAACUGGCAGACUAGAGUCUUGGAGAGGGGAGUGGAAUUCCAGGUGUAGCGGUGAAAUGCGUAGAUAUCUGGAGGAACAUCAGUGGCGAAGGCGACUCCCUGGCCAAAGACUGACGCUCAUGUGCGAAAGUGUGGGUAGCGAACAGGAUUAGAUACCCUGGUAGUCCACACCGUAAACGCUGUCUACUAGCUGUUUGUGACUUUAAGUCGUGAGUAGCGAAGCUAACGCGAUAAGUAGACCGCCUGGGGAGUACGGCCGCAAGGUUAAAACUCAAAUGAAUUGACGGGGGCCCGCACAAGCGGUGGAGCAUGUGGUUUAAUUCGAUGCAACGCGAAGAACCUUACCUACACUUGACAUGUUGAGAAGUACCAGAGAUGGUUUCGUGCCUUCGG
This 968-nucleotide ribosomal RNA is filed under the name Alteromonas sp. RNAcentral describes it as "bacterial SSU rRNA". It matches the Rfam family "Bacterial small subunit ribosomal RNA", at positions 56 to 1023 of the family's 1533-position model. The record is from RNAcentral. Lineage: Bacteria; Pseudomonadati; Pseudomonadota; Gammaproteobacteria; Alteromonadales; Alteromonadaceae.